AAGAUCGUACUUCACAGGAUCAGUUCUGUAGGAGUUGAUCUCAUUCUCCCUCCCUAACAUGGGAGUUGAUGUAACCACGACGAUGAGGAAUAGUCCUCUUCUCUGAGCGUGAGAACGACAUGAAUUCUCGACGUGUUCGAGAGCUCUGUCAUCAAUGAUCGUUCACUCUCUGUACUCAGUGUAGAGGGGAUGGGAAGUAGGACUUUCUGAGUGGU
Cyphomyrmex costatus is the source of this 215-nucleotide non-coding RNA. NCBI's taxonomy places the organism in Eukaryota, Metazoa, Arthropoda, Insecta, Hymenoptera, Formicidae. The record is from Rfam.